This is a long non-coding RNA of Labrus mixtus (cuckoo wrasse), 799 nucleotides long. RefSeq lists it as uncharacterized. The record is from RefSeq and is a predicted model, not a curated record. NCBI's taxonomy places the organism in Eukaryota, Metazoa, Chordata, Actinopteri, Labriformes, Labridae. The transcript has 3 exons.
CCUGUAGAACAUGAGGACCACGGAGGUCCAGAGCCGUAUCAGUUUGAUCCGUUAGCAGGGGCAGCGAGUGAUCAGGACAGUGAGGUGCAGUAGAGGAUGGGGGAUGUCUCUGAAUGGUAGGCUACACGAGGCCUCCUGCAGGAUUUAUUAUGACUUUUACAUUUUAGACAGAUAACCAUUUUAAAAUGUACAAUCGCUAUAUUUCACAGUAAUGCACUUUUGAUUUGUUUUCCUGUACAACAGGUGUUCCUGUAGUCACUGUUCCAAGCUCUCUCCUCGAGAGAAUGUCUGCUGCAAGGAGGUGGUAAAGGUAACAGCACACCAAGAGCUACAACAGAACAAUGUGAUGCAUAGAUGUGAGCAGGUUGGGGUUGCAGCCUGAAUAACUGCUCACCCAGGUUUCCAACCAGUUGCUCUCAACCCCUAUGUGCUGCAGGCUGUGUAUGGGACAUACAUACAGCUCUAUGGGGAGAUGCAGACACCAGAUCUCAAGAGUUCCUACAGACACCUGGCAUACUGCAAUUUUGUGCGGUGGUGCUGGGGAUACAUGGACCAGAACAUCAGGGAGGUCAUCCCUUCUUGUGUUGUCACCCACAUCAGACGAGAGUUUCCUGAACAUGGUUUCCAACUCCCUCCCCUUGAAUAAAAACAUUGUUAUGUCCAUUCCACGUUUUUGUUGGGGCAGUAUGUUUCUCUACAACCUGAUGUGGAAGUUGAUGCCGCCCAGUAAAGAUGGUUUACCACCGACAUCCUUUGUUUUUGUUAUUUUUUUGCCAGUGCAUCCAUUUAUUUCCCAAUC